RNAcentral lists this ribosomal RNA (207 nucleotides) under uncultured bacterium. RNAcentral's name for it is "partial 16S ribosomal RNA". It matches the Rfam family "Bacterial small subunit ribosomal RNA", at positions 568 to 774 of the family's 1533-position model. The record is from RNAcentral.
UGUGUAGGUGGCGCCGUAAGUCGGGUGUGAAAUCUCGGAGCUUAACUUCGAAACUGCACUCGAUACUGCGGUGCUUGAGGACUGGGAGAGGAGACUGGAAUUUACGGUGUAGCAGUGAAAUGCGUAGAUAUCGUAAGGAAGACCAGUGGCGAAGGCGGGUCUCUGGACAGUUCCUGACACUGAGACACGAAGGCCAGGGAGCAAACG